Molecule: ribosomal RNA, 435 nt
Filed under: uncultured bacterium
Lineage: Bacteria
Description: partial 16S ribosomal RNA
Rfam family: Bacterial small subunit ribosomal RNA
Source: RNAcentral
GAUGAACGCUGGCGGUAUGCUUAACACGUGCAAGUCGAACGGACUCUUCGGAGUUAGUGGCGGACGGGUGAGUAACGCGUGAGAAUCUGGCUUUGGGUUCGGGACAACCACUGGAAACGGUGGCUAAUACCGGAUGUGCCGAGAGGUAAAAGAGAAAUUGCCUGAAGAUGAGCUCGCGUCUGAUUAGCUAGUUGGUGAGGUAAAGGCUCACCAAGGCAGCGAUCAGUAGCUGGUCUGAGAGGAUGACCAGCCACACUGGGACUGAGACACGGCCCAGACUCCUACGGGAGGCAGCAGUGGGGAAUUUUCCGCAAUGGGCGAAAGCCUGACGGAGCAGUACCGCGUGAGGGAAGAAGGCUCUUGGGUUGUAAACCUCUUUUCUUAGGGAAGAACAAAAUGACGGUACCUAAGGAAUCAGCAUCGGCUAACUCCGUG